CUACAGGAUUCCCCUAGUAACUGCGAGUGAAGCGGGAAAAGCUCAAAUUUGAAAUCUGGCGGUCCUUUGCGGCCGUCCGAGUUGUAAUCUAGAGAAGUGCUACCCGCGCUGGACCGUGUACAAGUCUCCUGGAAUGGAGCGUCACAGAGGGUGAGAAUCCCGUCUUUGACACGGACUGCCAGGGCUUAUGUGGUGCGCUCUCGAAGAGUCGAGUUGUUUGGGAAUGCAGCUCUAAAUGGGUGGUAAAUUCCAUCUAAAGCUAAAUACAGGCGAGAGACCGAUAGCGAACAAGUACCGUGAGGGAAAGAUGAAAAGAACUUUGGAAAGAGAGUUAAACAGUACGUGAAAUUGCUGAAAGGGAAACGUUUGAAGUCAGUCGCGUUGGCUGGGGAUCAACCUUGCUCUUGCAGGGCGCACUCUCUGGUUCGACGGGUCAGCAUCAGUUUCGGCCGCUGGAGAAAGGCUAGGGGAAUGUGGCAUCGCUUCGGUGAUGUGUUAUAGCCCUUGGUCGUAUGCAGCGGCUGGGACUGAGGAACUCAGCCUGCCCUUAACUGGGCCGGGUCUUUUUGACCACGCUUAACGGGCUUAGGAUGCUGGCAUAAUGGCUUUAAGCGACCCGUCUUGAAACACGGACCAAGGAGUCUAACAUGCUUGCGAGUGUUUGGGUGGAAAACCCGAGCGCGUAAUGAAAGUGAAAGUUGGGAACCCUGUCGUGGGGUGCACCGACGCCCGGACCAGACCUUCUUGUGACGGCUCCGCGGUAGAGCAGGCAUGUUGGGACCCGAAAGAUGGUGAACUAUGCCUGAAUAGGGUGAAGCCAAAGGAAACUCUGGUGGAGGCUCGUAGCGAUUCUGACGUGCAAAUCGAUCGUCAAAUUUGGGUAUAGGGGCGAAAGACUAAUCGAACCAUCUAGUAGCUGGUUCUGCAG
This 928-nucleotide ribosomal RNA is filed under the name Agrocybe chaxingu. RNAcentral describes it as "partial large subunit ribosomal RNA". It matches the Rfam family "Eukaryotic large subunit ribosomal RNA", at positions 65 to 963 of the family's 3401-position model. The record is from RNAcentral. Lineage: Eukaryota; Fungi; Basidiomycota; Agaricomycetes; Agaricales; Agrocybaceae.